This 243-nucleotide small RNA is filed under the name Histoplasma capsulatum. RNAcentral describes it as "hypothetical RNA". RNAcentral also lists the same sequence under 1 other name. Lineage: Eukaryota; Fungi; Ascomycota; Eurotiomycetes; Onygenales; Ajellomycetaceae. The record is from RNAcentral.
ACCACUGUCAAUCUAUCUACUGCUGUCAAUCUAUCUACUGCUGCUAAUCUAUCACUGCUAAUCUAUCACUGCUAAUCUAUUGCUGCUAAUCUAUCACUGCUAAUCUAUCACUGCUAAUCUAUCACUGCUAAUCUAUCACUGCUAAUUUAUUGCUGUCAAUCUAUCUACUGCUGCUAAUCUAUCACUACUGUCAAUCUAUAUAGAGUAAAUCAUGAUUCUAUUUAGUUCUAUUUUGUAAAAAUG